AGACACGGCCCAAACUCCUACGGGAGGCAGCAGUGGGGAAUAUUGCACAAUGGGGGAAACCCUGAUGCAGCGACGCCGCGUGAGUGAAGAAGUAUUUCGGUAUGUAAAGCUCUAUCAGCAGGGAAGAAAUACUGACCAUAGGGUCAGCAGACGGUACUUGACUAAGAAGCCCCGGCUAACUACGUGCCAGCAGCCGCGGUAAUACGUAGGGGGCAAGCGUUAUCCGGAUUUACUGGGUGUAAAGGGAGCGUAGACGGCAGCGCAAGUCUGAAGUGAAAUGCCAGGGCUUAACCCUGGAACUGCUUUGGAAACUGUGCAGCUAGAGUGCAGGAGAGGUAAGUGGAAUUUCUAGUGUAGCGGUGAAAUGCGUAGAUAUUAGGAGGAACACCAGUGGCGAAGGCGGCUUACUGGACUGUAACUGACGUUGAGGCUCGAAAGCGUGGGGAGCAAACAGGAUUAGAUACCCUGGUAGUCCACGCUGUAAACGAUGAUUACUAGGUGUUGGG
Molecule: ribosomal RNA, 506 nt
Filed under: uncultured bacterium
Lineage: Bacteria
Description: bacterial SSU rRNA
Rfam family: Bacterial small subunit ribosomal RNA
Source: RNAcentral